Molecule: ribosomal RNA, 460 nt
Filed under: uncultured bacterium
Lineage: Bacteria
Description: partial 16S ribosomal RNA
Rfam family: Bacterial small subunit ribosomal RNA
Source: RNAcentral
CCUACGUGUGGCAGCAGUGAGGAAUAUUGGUCAAUGGGCGCGAGCCUGAACCAGCCAAGUAGCGUGAGGGAAGACGGUCCUACGGGUUGUAAACCUCUUUUAUAAAGGAACAAAGUGCGCCACGUGUGCCGUUUUGUAUGUACUUUAUGAAUAAGCAUCGGUUAACUCGGGGCCAGAAGCCGCGGUAAUACGGAGGGUCUGAGCGUUUUCCGGAUUUAUUGGGUUUAAAGGGGUCGUAGAUGGGUUGGAAAGUCAGUUGUGAAAGUUUGCGGUUCAACCGUAAAAUUGCUAUUGACACUGGCAGUCUUGAGUGCAGUUGAGGUAGGCGGAAUUCGUGGUGUAGCGGUGAAAUGCUUAGAUAUCACGAAGAACUCCGAUUGCGAAGGCAGCUUACUAGACUGCCACUGACAUUGAUGCUCGAAAGUGUGGGUAUCAAACAGGAUUAGAUACCCCUGUAGUC